RNAcentral lists this ribosomal RNA (466 nucleotides) under uncultured bacterium. RNAcentral describes it as "partial 16S ribosomal RNA". It matches the Rfam family "Bacterial small subunit ribosomal RNA", at positions 28 to 507 of the family's 1533-position model. The record is from RNAcentral.
GAUGAACGCUGGCGGCGUGCUUAACACAUGCAAGUCGAACGAUGAAGCGCAGCGUGCUGGGUGCUUUAGUUGCGAACGGGCGAGUAACAAGUGAGUAACCUGCCCUUGACUCUGGGAUAAGUCUGGGAAACUAGGCCUAAUACUGGAUAUGACUUCUCAUCGCCUGGUGGGGGGAGGAAAGAUUGAUUGGUCUUGGAUGGCUUCGCGGCGUAUCAGCUUGUUGUUGAGGUAAUGGCUCACCAAGGCGAUACCGGGUAGCCGGCCUGAGAGGGUGACCGGCCACACUGGGACUGAGACACGGCCCAGACUCCUACGGGAGGCAGCAGUGGGGAAUAUUGCACAAUGGGCGCAAGCCUGAUGCAGCGACGCCGCGUGAGGGAUGACGGCCUUCGGGUUGUAGACCUCUUUCAGUAGGGAAGAAGCGAGAGUGACGGUACCUGCAGAAGAAGCGCCGGCUAACUACGUG